CGUCGAAGGUGGGGCUGAUGACUGGGGUGAAGUCGUAACAAGGUAUCCGUACCGGAAGGUGCGGAUGGAUCACCUCCUAACAGGGAGACAACACAAUGAUUUUGAUGCCUGAGUGCUUUUAUUCUUAGGCCGAAAUCCUGUCACCUUAGGUCGAUCGGUACCUCAGCUUUGAAGUCAAGGAUUAGCAUCAAUGUUGAUUGCUUGAUAGAGAUUUUCAGUUCCUAAACUUUGUCUAGGUCACACCCCAAAAGGGAUGAGACUCCUGGGCCAUUAGCUCAGGUGGUUAGAGCGCACCCCUGAUAAGGGUGAGGUCCCUGGUUCAAGUCCAGGAUGGCCCAUUCGGUGUUGGGGGUUUAGCUCAGUUGGUAGAGCGCCUGCUUUGCAAGCAGGAUGUCAGGAGUUCGAGUCUCCUAACCUCCACUGACCGAACUUGAUUCCCAUCUCCAAUACUUUUGGAGUUGAGCUCGAUUGGAGUGUGAUUUAGAUGUGUCCGCUGGAUGACCCCAGCUUCCUGUCAUUCCAAGUUCUAGGUUGAUGUCUUGAAUUUGGUUGAUAAGAUGCUGGGCUCGGAUCAAAUAAUCAAGUAAUUGAUGAUUUGAUUUGAAGUUCUAGCAGAACCUUGACAACUGCAUAGGUGAGUCUGGAAAAAACAAAGCAUCUUACAGAUGCAUUGUUUUGAAUCUGAUCUUCUGAGAGGGAGAUUAGAUCUAGAACAAUGAAAAUUCUUUUGAGCAAGAGCCGAGACUCUUGAAUGUUCUUUGAUUCGUGUCGAGCGAAUCAGAGUUUGAUCUUGUUUUUAGCAAUAAAAACUUGAGAAUCUGCUUUCAACGGCGGUAAGCGUUCAGGAGGUUAAUUGGUCAAGCUACAAAGGGCUCA
This 876-nucleotide unclassified non-coding RNA is filed under the name uncultured Synechococcus sp. RNAcentral's name for it is "partial may contain 16S ribosomal RNA, 16S-23S ribosomal RNA intergenic spacer, and 23S ribosomal RNA". The stretch from base 348 to 420 matches the Rfam family "tRNA". Lineage: Bacteria; Bacillati; Cyanobacteriota; Cyanophyceae; Synechococcales; Synechococcaceae. The record is from RNAcentral.